This 261-nucleotide ribosomal RNA is filed under the name uncultured prokaryote. RNAcentral's name for it is "partial 16S ribosomal RNA". It matches the Rfam family "Bacterial small subunit ribosomal RNA", at positions 524 to 784 of the family's 1533-position model. The record is from RNAcentral.
UACGAAGGGUGCAAGCGUUACUCGGAAUUACUGGGCGUAAAGGGUGCGUAGGUGGUUCGUUAAGUCUGAUGUGAAAGCCCUGGGCUCAACCUGGGAAUUGCAUUGGAUACUGGCGGGCUAGAGUGCGGUAGAGGGUAGUGGAAUUCCCGGUGUAGCAGUGAAAUGCGUAGAUAUCGGGAGGAACAUCCGUGGCGAAGGCGACUGCCUGGACCAGCACUGACACUGAGGCACGAAAGCGUGGGGAGCAAACAGGAUUAGAUA